This 77-nucleotide transfer RNA is filed under the name Allomuricauda sp. RNAcentral describes it as "tRNA-Ile". It matches the Rfam family "tRNA". From Rfam's summary of the family: Transfer RNA (tRNA) molecules are approximately 80 nucleotides in length. The record is from RNAcentral. Lineage: Bacteria; Pseudomonadati; Bacteroidota; Flavobacteriia; Flavobacteriales; Flavobacteriaceae. RNAcentral also lists the same sequence under 2 other names.
GGUCCUAUAGCUCAGCUGGUUAGAGCACCUGACUCAUAAUCAGGGGGUCCCUGGUUCGAGCCCAGGUGGGACCACCA